UAUAAUUUCUCUUUAGGUCCUCUGAUGUAGUUUAUGUAGUUUGCCUUACUGCUUAAGAGACUAGGAAUAGGUGUUUUGACAUUGUCCAGCUCUUAAUGAACAUGUUUUCAGAAGGGGUGGGGGAAAUCUCAUUUGUUUAAUCUGCUGCGAAUAAAGGCUUUCAUUUAAGUCAGAAUUGCUCCUCUUUUUUUUUUUUUCCCCGCUGAUGAUAUUUUUUUGCAUUUAAUGCAAUUUAUUUUAAAACAAUACUAAUAUUUUUACUUUAUAAUUGUAAACAGGACAGCAUAGAUAUACCGUGCUGCUUUUUGGAUAAAAUAAAAUAAAUUGGCAACAAUAUUUUUGUGUUGGUAUAACUGUUAGCAGAAAGCCAUGAGCUGACAUAAAAUCAAAGUGGCUGUUGUGGCUUGCCUAUGUUUUAAACGCUGAUAUAUUUAUUGUAAACAGAAGUAGAUGUCACAAUGAGCAAACUUUCCUGUAUUGUCGUCUAACUGCACUAUAAAAAUUGCAUAGUGUUCUCCUAUGCUAUAAUUUAGAUGUUUAAAACAAAAUAUUUUCUGUGACAUGAUUGUCUGUAAGACAUUUCUGCUGUGUUUCCUUCAGCUGUUAUUAUAGCUUUAGUGUUCUUUUUUAUAACUUUUUUUUUUUUUUUUUAGACCAUUCACCUCUACAGUAUUAGAGCAAAACUGAACAGGGACUUCAACAAAUGUAGAAGACAGCAUAUCUGUGGUAAACCCAAGAAAAGAAACAAAGCUGGCAAAAACCUAAUACUUUAGGGAAUACAAAUAUAGCAAUAGGGAAGGGAAUUUUUCCCCUUUUGCCAGUGGAUAACCAUCAUAUCAACUCGUGUCUGUCAGAGCACCUGUUAAAUGUUUUGUGAAUCACAUAGGAAAGCUCUCUGAAACAUCUGCUCCAUAUUUAGGUUGGUUCUCUGAUCUACUUUAAAGGACAGAUACGGUAAAGCAAAGGCAGGAAUAGGGAGUCAAGGGAAUUGCAGAACAGUGGUCACAUGAUGCUCAUUUUUACCACAUAUGACAGCAUGAUUUCUGAAAAAGAGAUUGAUUCCUGUAUCUUGUAAGACUGUUGCAUGCAGUGAUAAUGAAAAAUUUUGUACUGAGUUUAAUUUAGCCUGACCUCUGAAAGGGCUUUUGUUGUAUUGUUUUUGAUAUAUUAAAAUGCUUCAAAUAUAAAUAAACCACAAAAUAUUAAUCA
RNAcentral lists this long non-coding RNA (1209 nucleotides) under Anser brachyrhynchus (Pink-footed goose). Its description in RNAcentral is "lncRNA (ENSABRG00000000334.1)". Lineage: Eukaryota; Metazoa; Chordata; Aves; Anseriformes; Anatidae. The record is from RNAcentral.